RNAcentral lists this ribosomal RNA (497 nucleotides) under uncultured bacterium. Its description in RNAcentral is "partial 16S ribosomal RNA". It matches the Rfam family "Bacterial small subunit ribosomal RNA", at positions 28 to 507 of the family's 1533-position model. The record is from RNAcentral.
GAUGAACGCUGGCGGCGUGCCUAAUACAUGCAAGUCGAGCGAACAGACGAGGAGCUUGCUCCGCUUACGUUAGCGGCGGACGGGUGAGUACCACGUGGAUACCCUGCCUAUAAGACUGAGAUAACUUCGGGAAACCGGAGCUAAUACAGGAUCAUAUAUUGAACCGGAUGGUUCAAUAGUGCACGCGCGUUUUGAUGUGCCUAAUUCAUGGAUCCGCGCUGCAUUAGCUAGUUGGUAAGGUAACGGCUUACCAAGGCUACGAUGCGUAGCCGAACUGAGAGGGUGAUCGGCCACACUGGAACUGAGACACGGUCCAGACUCCUACGGGAGGCAGCAGUAGGGAAUCUUCGACAAUGGGCGAAAGCCUGACGGAGCAACGCCGCGUGAGUGAUGAAGGUCUUCGGAUCGUAAAACUCUGUUAGUAGGGAGGAACAAAAGUAAAUGUAAAUAUUCACGUCUUGACGGUACCUAAUCAGAAAGCCACGGCUAACUACGUG